GACGAACGCUGGCGGCGUGCUUAACACAUGCAAGUCGAACGGAAAGGCCCUGCUUGCAGGGUGCUCGAGUGGCGAACGGGUGAGUAACACGUGGGUGAUCUGCCCCUUACUUUGGGAUAAGCCUGGGAAACUGGGUCUAAUACUGGAUAGGACCAUGCUGUAGGUGGUGUGGUGGAAAGAUUAGUUUCGGUAAGGGAUGAGCUCGCGGCCUAUCAGCUUGUUGGUGGGGUAAUGGCCUACCAAGGCGUCGACGGGUAGCCGGCCUGAGAGGGUGGACGGCCACAUUGGGGCUGGGAUACGGCCCAGACUCCUACGGGAGGCAGCAGUGGGGAAUAUUGCACAAUGGGCGCAAGCCUGAUGCAGCGACGCCGCGUGGGGGAUGACGGCCUUCGGGUUGUAAACUCCUUUCAGCCAUGACGAAGCCCUUGUGGUGACGGUAGUGGUAGAAGAAGCACCGGCUAACUACGUG
This 469-nucleotide ribosomal RNA is filed under the name uncultured bacterium. RNAcentral's name for it is "partial 16S ribosomal RNA". It matches the Rfam family "Bacterial small subunit ribosomal RNA", at positions 28 to 507 of the family's 1533-position model. The record is from RNAcentral.